This 260-nucleotide ribosomal RNA is filed under the name uncultured bacterium. RNAcentral describes it as "partial small subunit ribosomal RNA". It matches the Rfam family "Bacterial small subunit ribosomal RNA", at positions 26 to 285 of the family's 1533-position model. The record is from RNAcentral.
AGGAUGAACGCUAGCGGCAGGCCUAAUACAUGCAAGUCGGACGGGAUUCGGGAGCUUGCUUCCGAUGAGAGUGGCGCACGGGUGCGUAACACGUAUGUAACCUACCUUUAUCAGGGGGAUAGCCUCUCGAAAGAGAGAUUAAGCCCGCAUAAUAUUAUGGCACAGCAUUGUGAGAUAAUCAAAUAUUUAUAGGAUAGAGAUGGGCAUGCGGAACAUUAGCUAGUUGGUAAGGUAAUGGCUUACCAAGGCUACGAUGUUUA